CUCAUUCUGUGAUACAGAUCUUGACAUUCCUCCUGCAUAACAUCAAAUGUUAUAAUUAUGAAUCCAUGGAAGGAAACUGUUGCUUACUUAGUUCCAGUGCCUAUAAGGAAAGGAGAAAUUAGAGAAAAAUCUUAUUACCACUGUAUUCAUACCUCAGAAAAGUCAUCAUCUGAAAUUUUGGAGAUAGAUAAAGAAUGUCAACUAUGCAUGUAAGAAAGAUGGCUAGUAUAACAGCAUCAGGAAUGUUGACCUUCCACAGCAAUGUACUGUGCCUAAAGAAAGAACAAAGUAAAAUAUGCUUGAGAUUUUAUAUUUCAUUUAUAUUUAGAUAUGCGUUUUGAAUACAA
Molecule: long non-coding RNA, 347 nt
Organism: Vigna unguiculata (cowpea)
Lineage: Eukaryota; Viridiplantae; Streptophyta; Magnoliopsida; Fabales; Fabaceae
Source: RefSeq, a predicted model, not a curated record